GACUAGAACGUUGAUAGGCAGGGUGUGUAAGCGUUGUGAGGCGUUGAGCUAACCUGUACUAUUGCCCGUGAGGCUUAACCAUACAACACCCAAGGGGUUUUGUA
RNAcentral lists this ribosomal RNA (104 nucleotides) under Vibrio cholerae. RNAcentral describes it as "partial 23S ribosomal RNA". The record is from RNAcentral. Lineage: Bacteria; Pseudomonadati; Pseudomonadota; Gammaproteobacteria; Vibrionales; Vibrionaceae.